Rhipicephalus microplus (southern cattle tick) is the source of this 295-nucleotide long non-coding RNA. The record is from RefSeq and is a predicted model, not a curated record. Lineage: Eukaryota; Metazoa; Arthropoda; Arachnida; Ixodida; Ixodidae.
ACCGCUGCUGCCAGCCCCGGGACCACCGGCGGCCACCCCUCGCGUCGUUUUUAGUCCUAGCUUGGCUCAGUCUCUGUCUUGGCUGUGUGCUUGGCGACGGAAGAACCCCUUUCGGGUCUUCACUUGGGUGGUGCUUCUGGGCGGCAAGACCGUGGUCGAGCGACCCGGACCUUGUCCCCGUCUUUUCUUCUUCUUCUUCUUUGUGGCCGCGGUUCCAGGCGCGACCAUCCAUCCUGCAAAAGGUCACGGCGCCCGCCACGCAAGAAUUGCACCGUCCUUGAGUAUUGACAGCAGA